RNAcentral lists this ribosomal RNA (253 nucleotides) under uncultured bacterium. Its description in RNAcentral is "partial 16S ribosomal RNA". It matches the Rfam family "Bacterial small subunit ribosomal RNA", at positions 524 to 776 of the family's 1533-position model. The record is from RNAcentral.
UACGAAGGGGGCUAGCGUUGUUCGGAAUUACUGGGCGUAAAGCGCGCGCAGGCGGUUUUCCAAGUCAGUGGGGAAAGCCCGGAGCUCAACUCCGGAAAUGCCAUUGAAACUGUAAAACUUGAGGACGAGAGAGGUGAGUGGAAUUCCCAGUGUAGAGGUGAAAUUCGUAGAUAUUGGGAAGAACACCGGUGGCGAAGGCGGCUCACUGGCUCGUUUCUGACGCUCAGGCGCGAUAGCGUGGGGAUCAAACAGG